UCGACAAAAUGGCAGCUAUCGGGAAACCGUAUUUUAGGUUUUAAUUUUUGACUACGAAUUUGUCAUUUUAUUGAACCUUAAAGACGACAUUAUUGACUUGAACGUGUGAGGUACAAUCUGUAGAGCGCAGAUUUCUGCUUACCACCCAUGAAUGCUCAGCCUACCGUCCCAUCCAUCUUCUGAAGGAAUCUUGAUCCUGGACAGUCUGCAGUAUAUACAUCUUGAAAUGGCUACUGUCCAUCAUCCAGCUAACACCUUGGACCUCCGGGUGCCCUUUCACUCCAAGGAGACAUCAUCAAGUUGCGGUAGAUGUGUCCAUCUAAUCUAUGAUAAACUGGACUGCGCCCUUACCUACAAACCCCACCUUAAAACCAAUGCAAAAAUACGCACCGGAAAUUACAUCAUCUAAAGUUGGCUGCUACUGUUUGGGGAGCUAAUUAUGCGGAAACACUCAGAGCCUCUGUCCUGGCAGAAUACUGUGUCCAUGUGUGGGCAAACUCAACACCACAUGACAAUGAGACUAAGCUCCGGAGCCAUCCCCUCUACCAACAAUGAAUAGUUAACGGUUCUGUGCAAUAUCGCACCCCGGCCUUCACAUCCGACACCGGGCAGCAACUGGCAACUUCCUGCCUAGGAUGGCGACCAAGACACUCCCCACCUCCCAGGAUAUCAACCAUCCUCCCAGAUAGCAGCUACCAUCAAGGAAACUCUUUUGGACCCUGGAACAACUUAUGAUAGCUAGUUACCAACUUUGGCAGCAGGAAUGGGACAGGAGCAGCGCCCCACGAACAAGGAACUGAUCACCGACUCUACUGUUAGGAAUGGACCUCCCACGCAACCUCUGGACCUAGUUGCACUGGUUCUGAUCUAGCGGUGGACCCUGCAGGGCUACCAUCCACAGUUGGAUCAGCAUUGUGUCCCCUCUCGAUCUGCACCUGCGGAGCUGAGGAGAUGAUGAACAUCAUCAUAGAGAAGUGCCCUCUUCAGCAGUUCCAAGGCGGUGUCUCAGCACUUCAUCUCACAGAUGACCAGGCAGUGACGUGGCGAAUAACACGCGGGGAAACAGCUUUGAGGAGAGAGAUGUGUUUAUCUUGAAAUGGACUCUUGCAAGAAUCUGUGGAGAUGUUCACCUUCGUGUUAUCAUCAGAGGGGACUUUUUUCUAAAAGAGCUAAGAAUUCAAGACAUGGAAAACUUCAUUGAACAGCGACUUUGCAGCAGAUCAACCAGGUUGGUAGGGUAAG
Long non-coding RNA from Patiria miniata (bat star), 1242 nucleotides. RefSeq lists it as uncharacterized. The transcript is spliced from 5 exons. The record is from RefSeq and is a predicted model, not a curated record. NCBI's taxonomy places the organism in Eukaryota, Metazoa, Echinodermata, Asteroidea, Valvatida, Asterinidae.